Molecule: unclassified non-coding RNA, 241 nt
Filed under: uncultured fungus
Lineage: Eukaryota; Fungi
Description: sequence contains ITS2
Source: RNAcentral
AACGCACAUUGCACCUUCUGGUAUUCCAGGAGGUAUGCCUGUUCGAGCGUCAUUUCAACCCUCAAGCUCAGCUUGGUAUUGGGUGUCACUUAGUUAGGUGCACCUUAAAAUUAGUGGCGGUGCCAUCUAACUUCAAGUGUAGUAAACUUCUCACUUUGGAGGUUUAGAUAUGUGUUUGCCAUCAAUGUUUUAUUUUUCAAUGGUUGACCUCGGAUCAGGUAGGGAUACCCGCUGAACUUAA